AGCUCCAAUAGCGUAUAUUAAAGUUGUUGCGGUAAAAAGCUCGUAGUUGGAUUUCUGCUAGAGAUGACCGGUCCACACAAUGUGUGCGCAUCUGGUUCAGCUUUGGCAUCCUCUCGACAGACGUUUCUGCGCUUGAUUGCGUGGAGCGGAUUUCGGGACUUUUACUUUGAGGAAAUUAGAGUGUUCACGGCAGGCUAUCGCCAGAAUACAUUAGCAUGGAAUAAUACUAUAGGAUCUCGGUUCUAUUUUGUUGGUUUCUAGGAUUGAGAUAAUGAUUAAUAGGGACAAUUGGGGGCAUUCGUAUCAACACGUCAGAGGUGGAAUUCUUGGAUUGUGUUGCGACGAACUA
Molecule: ribosomal RNA, 349 nt
Filed under: uncultured eukaryote
Lineage: Eukaryota
Description: SSU rRNA
Rfam family: Eukaryotic small subunit ribosomal RNA
Source: RNAcentral